Molecule: long non-coding RNA, 2591 nt
Filed under: Brachypodium distachyon (stiff brome)
Lineage: Eukaryota; Viridiplantae; Streptophyta; Magnoliopsida; Poales; Poaceae
Description: long non-coding RNA (BDIS_LNC004785)
Source: RNAcentral
UAAAGUCACUCAGCCAACUAAAAAGAUUGCAUGCACUCUUUCUCGGUUCUAAUAACUUCAUGAUAGAUCAGGUAGAGCUCAAUUCGUUGUUGGGAUUAAGAGAACUCCGGGCACUGGACCUGUCAAAUAAUAGGCUGUCAGUAAUAGAGGUGACAGAUGGACAAGGAGUUUCAGUUCCUUCUGUAUCUCGACUUCAAGUUUUGGACCUAGCAUCCUGCAACCUAACUAAAAUUCCAGAUUUUCUACAGUUUCUGCACCAUGUCGGUUACUUGGAUAUUUCUAAUAACCAUAUUUCCGGCAGUAUACCUAAGUGGAUAUGGGACAAUUGGAGUAAUACACUUCUCUAUCUGAACUUGUCAAACAACAAUUUUUCUAGCAUGGAACUAUCUUCGCCUUUUCUUCCAAAAGCCCUACAAAUUAUUGAUCUUAGCUCCAAUAGACUCCAGGGAAAGGUCCCUAUUCCACUGAAGCCAACAAACCUACAGUUCUUGGACUACUCAAAUAACAGAUUCUCAUCAAUCUUAAAAAACUGCACCUCAUGCCUUGGAAAAACUUUCUACCUUAAGAUGGCAAAUAAUAGAAUAAGAGGAGAGAUCCCACACUUCAUUUGCAACGCGAGCAAGCUUGUAAUUCUUGAUUUAUCUAAUAACAGUUUCAGUGGAACGAUUCCAUCAUGUCUAAUACAAGGUGGCCAUCUCAGCAUAUUGAAUUUGAGGGACAAUCACCUCGAAGGAAGACUAGCAUCUAGGGUUGACAAGAGAUGCGCUCUUCAGACAAUAAAUUUGGGUGGAAAUAGGAUUGGAGGUCAACUUCCCUGGUCACUUUCUAACUGCAAGGAUUUGGAGUUUCUCGAUCUGGGUAACAACCAAAUUGUUGACUCUUUUCCACAUUGGUUGGGAAAGCUUCCCAAGCUUCGCAUUCUGGUCUUGAGAUCAAACCAGCUCCAUGGCACAAUAGAAAAUUCUCCAGGAGAUGAUGACUAUGGAGAACACUUUUCAAGUAUGCAAAUAAUUGACGUUGCCUCGAACUAUUUCUCUGGCAAUCUGAGGUCACCAUGGUUUGAAAAUUUACAGUCUAUGAUCAAAAGUUCUGAUUUCGAAGGAGACAUUAUAAAAGCUCAAAACGUGACAGGAUCUUAUCAAGAUAUUGUCACCGUAAUGUUCAAAGGGCAGUACAUGACAUUCGAGAAGAUAUGGACCACUCUUACAAUGAUCGACUUCUCGGAUAAUGCAUUCACUGGUUCCAUUCCUGAAUCAUUUGGAAGACUUGGUCAACUACAUGGACUCAACCUGUCAAAUAACAUGUUGACAGGAGAAAUUCCAGCACAACUAGGUGGUAUGACUGCUCUGGAGUCAAUGGAUCUAUCUUCAAACGAGCUUUCUGGGGAGAUACCAGAGGAGCUGACAGACCUCACUUCUCUAGGUACCUUGAAUUUGUCCAACAACCAAUUCAUCGGAAAAAUACCGGAAUCGCGCCAAUUUGGAACGUUCCAGAACAAUUCGUAUGAAGGGAAUGCAGGACUGUGUGGACCGCCCUUGUCCAAACAGUGUGACAGCCAAGGAGGUGGACCAAUUGGAGUGCUUGCGAGCAAGUCCUCAGAUCAGGUUGAUGUCAUUUUGUUUCUCUUCAUCGGCAUAGGAUAUGGCCUUGGGUUUGCAGCAGGUUUACUAAUCAAAUGGAGUCGCAUAGGCAAGUGGUUCAGGACAACAAACACGUCUUGAUAGUGCGCAAGCAAAGGUUUGUCUGCGGAGUGCAACUAUGCCUAUGCUGAAUUUUGAAGUAUUUGUUGUACUUACAUUGUUGUUAUCAGCACCUGCAGCUUCAUAAUUGCAGCAAAAAAAAAUGUCUCUACUGCAAGUUGUCUUUCUGUUGCUAUCAGUGUCUGUACUCAGCAAUCAAAACUUUGUACUACGUGAUUUGCAUGUUCAAGAACGAUCUAAAUUUCCGUAUAUUUUUAAGGCAGAUUUUAUUUCGGAUGAAAACCUAAAAUGUACAUGAAAAUUAGUUCUGGGCUCACAUUAGCGAUAUGUACAUAUAGGUAAAGGAAGAACAAUUGUAAAAUUCAGAUUUCAUAUAUUACAUGUCUUAAUUGAACCAGAGUCCAGAAACAGGACCAUAAUAAGCUGAACAGAAACAAAUGAUUCUGAAUCUGAAUGAACAAGCAUGCCAAGAAGAGAAGAGACCUGUGAACCUCUCUUGUUCUCGAGGUGGGUGCUCCAUUCCCGCCAGCCAUGGUCUACCUUGAGUGAUUCUUCCGCCCAUCACGAUCACGAUGCCUCCAACGGCCGGCUCCUGCGCCCUCCUUCCUUGGCGGAGCAUCUAGGCGACGCGCCGCCCAAUGUCGUGGUGCCCCCACCCGCGACUUGACGGCUGCGGCGAAAGGACGUGGCCGGCGGCGCGUAGAAGGCCGCCGGAUUCCCAUAAAAAAGAAGCGUGCGGCAGCAGCGCAUCUCCGCCGGUCGCCGGAGAGGGAAGGGGAAAGGCUUCGAAGAAAAAAGGGUAGCGGGGAUGAUACUUGAGCCGGUCUUUCUACGCUCUUGUACAAGGCGACCAAAAAGAGCAAAAUGCACCGUAGCUUGUAAAACUACGAA